This 449-nucleotide ribosomal RNA is filed under the name uncultured bacterium. RNAcentral's name for it is "partial 16S ribosomal RNA". It matches the Rfam family "Bacterial small subunit ribosomal RNA", at positions 29 to 523 of the family's 1533-position model. The record is from RNAcentral.
AACGAACGCAGGCGGCAUGCCUAACACAUGCAAGUCGAACGAGAUCUUCGGGUCUAGUGGCGCACGGGUGCGUGACGCGUGGGAAUCUGCCCUUUGGUUCGGAAUAACAGUUGGAAACGACUGCUAAUACCGGAUGACGACGAAAGUCCAAAGAUUUAUCGCCAGAGGAUGAGCCCGCGUAGGAUUAGCUAGUUGGUGUGGUAAAGGCGCACCAAGGCGACGAUCCUUAGCUGGUCUGAGAGGAUGAUCAGCCACACUGGGACUGAGACACGGCCCAGACUCCUACGGGAGGCAGCAGUGGGGAAUAUUGGACAAUGGGCGAAAGCCUGAUCCAGCAAUGCCGCGUGAGUGAUGAAGGCCUUAGGGUUGUAAAGCUCUUUUACCCGGGAUGAUAAUGACAGUACCGGGAGAAUAAGCUCCGGCUAACUCCGUGCCAGCCGCCGCAGUAA